AACGAACGCUGGCGGCAUGCCUAACACAUGCAAGUCGAACGAGGCCUUCGGGUCUAGUGGCGCACGGGUGCGUAACGCGUGGGAACCUGCCCUUAGGUUCGGAAUAACUCCCCGAAAGGGGUGCUAAUACCGGAUAAUGUCUUCGGACCAAAGAUUUAUCGCCUUUGGAUGGGCCCGCGUUGGAUUAGCUAGUUGGUAGGGUAAAAGCCUACCAAGGCGACGAUCCAUAGCUGGUCUGAGAGGAUGAUCAGCCACACUGGGACUGAGACACGGCCCAGACUCCUACGGGAGGCAGCAGUGGGGAAUAUUGGACAAUGGGCGAAAGCCUGAUCCAGCAAUGCCGCGUGAGUGAUGAAGGCCUUAGGGUUGUAAAGCUCUUCUACCCGGGAUGAUAAUGACAGUACCGGGAGAAUAAGCUCCGGCUAACUCCGUG
RNAcentral lists this ribosomal RNA (433 nucleotides) under uncultured bacterium. Its description in RNAcentral is "partial 16S ribosomal RNA". It matches the Rfam family "Bacterial small subunit ribosomal RNA", at positions 29 to 507 of the family's 1533-position model. The record is from RNAcentral.